UAUUUUUUGAGUUUUUUUUAUCAACUCCUCGUUCCACAACAAAAUCAAACCCUAAAAAGGAGGAUGAAGAAGGGUAAAAUCCGACAAGUAAGAUGAGACCGAGGCUCGAAGCAAGGUGAUAAUAUUUCAUACUCUGACUACUAUCAUUCAAAUCUUGGAUUUAUGGAUUGAAUUUUACUUUCUUAGAUGCUUUCGGUUUGAUUUUUGAAGAGGAAGAAGCCAUUGAAGUGGAAGGGAUGAAGAGUUCUGAGAAAUCAACGUCCUUUCGCCCUAAAGUUCCAACGACUGGUUUCGUCCUCCUUUACUGCGUUAUUACGGUCAAUAUAAGGCAAGUUUUGAUUUUGAUAUUUUUUCCCCUUCAUAAAAAUAGUUUAAAUCUCAAAAUAUGUGGAUGGUGUCUUCAAUACAAUUCACUUGUUCGAGAUUUGGGUUACUUGUUUUUCGGAAGCAACUUUUUUUCUUAUUGCUUAAAAUAGAUGACUCUUUUUGUUUGACUUGUCACCUUCGUGUAAUCUGGAGAGGUUUUUGUAGUCCAUCACCCCUUUUAGUUCCAGCUCAACAUUUAUUUAACGUUUUAUUGCUUGUAAAUGAAUUGAAUUUUUGGAAUUUGUACUUAAUUAAUUUUAAUUUAUCAGUAAUAUUAAUUAUAUCAUUUCAUUGCCUUUAUAUAAAAGAGUGAAUGUUGGCUCUACUGUUCAUUUUGCUGCCCUCCGAUUCACACUGAAACUGGUUCUUUACUAUUCAUUAUCUAGUUAUUCAAUAAGAUAUAGAUAUUUUACAUAAAGAGCAUUUGCUUUCUUUUUCUUCAUUCACUCUCUCUUGCUUUUUCAUGAGUUUCUUUCUCAACAAACCGAGCCAAAGCAAUCCCUAAGAAGGAGAGAAAAGGUAAGAUUCAAACUAAUUACUGGAAUCGACCUUCAAUUUCUUCCAAUCUUGUAAAUUUCUUCAAUUUCUUGAUCACUUUUGCAGAUCCUGUGGAAAUUUUUCCCUUUUUAUGAAAGUUUAACUAAAAUUUCAAACAAAGACUUGAGAGAAAAUUGAACUAUUUUCAGUUCAAGUAAAGAUCUUGGAACAACAACACGACAAUAGCAAAAAGGUCUUAUGAGGAUUCACAGGUAUUCUGGGGAAAAUUUCGGGGGUUAUCUCUAGAUUUUAGAGAGGACGAACGAAUUUUUUCUGGUCUUUCUUAUUUACUCGAAGAUAAUUGAUGGCAGUUUCUACUGCAAAGAUAGAAUCCUGAUAUGGUGGAUAUCAAGUGUUUUGAGCUAAUCGAUUCUGGCUCUGUAAUUAUAUUUAGCUAAAAGGGUGUGUAAUUAAGGGAAAAUUCAUGGUGGAUUAUGUAAAUACGGAAAGGAGAGAGAUUCUCUCAAUUUUUGCUGCUUGAAAUUCUUCAAAUAAUAUUGCCAGAACCUGGAUAGUUUUCAUUUUAUUUGCAUCAGAGGCCUGUUGAAAGAAUUUUGUAUGUUUGCUUUAGAAUUUGAAUUUUUCAGUCCUUAGUUUGAAGGGGUGGUCACAACAUUAUAGAAGAAGAGACCAAUGCAUUUGAAGUUGGGAAUACGAAAAGGUUGGAGAAAUUCUAGACAAGAUAAGAUAUAUGGGGUUUUGAUACCUUCAAUGAAGUAAGUGGAGUGAAAAUGGGUACAACGAUUUUACAUUCUUUGACAGGUGAUAAUCCAGAAUUGCAAAAGCAAACAGGACAGCAUUAUAGAACAAAAGUCAGUGCAUUGCAAGUUGGGUAUACGAAAAGGUUAGAGAAAUUCUAGACAAGACAUUUGGGAUUUUGAUACCUUCAUUGAAGUGAGGGAAGUGAAAAUGACUAAAAAGAUUUUACAUUUUUUGACAGGUGAUAAUCCAAAAUUGAAAAAGCAAACAUGAUAUAUGACAGGCAUCUUUCAACUGUUCGAUCAUCAGCCUAUUCUUACUGGGAGGUGCAUCGUUGGCCACAACACAGAGAGGCUGCCUCCUGGUACAUAUUUCUCAUACUAAUUGCUUACUAUUGCUUAUGAUCAAUAAUCUUGUAGAUGAAUGUACUAUUUUAAUGUUUUUCUUGCAGACGCUAUAGACUGUUCACUGAUAGAACUAAGUUUGUUUUAGUUCUCCAAAAUGGAUUCAUUGAAUAUUAAUUUUAAAUAAAUAUAUGAUUCUCUUCUUGUUCAAUAUAUUUCGUGCCACCUUUUAAGUUAAUAAUAUACAAGAGAAGCCCUACGAGCAUGAUACAAUGUGUUUUGCCCUACGAGCAUGAUGCAAUUCGGCCCAUUUCUUAGCAAAAAUAAUAUGCCCAGUAUAUUGAUUUUUGUUUCUUUUCAUGACCUAUAUUUAUUAUUUCAUAUAAGUUUGCAUAUAUAAUGUCCAUGGCCUCCUGAUGAUAUUGCUCAUUUAAUUUUUUGAAGCCUUAAUUCAUUGCUUUUAAUGGUCUAAUAAAAACCCAUAUCUCAGGUUCAGAUGUUCAUUUGCAGGAAAUGCCCACUUCCAUAAUGUACAUUGGAAACAGAAUCUAAUACUACAGAAUGAAGAUCUGCACUAAUGGUAAGAAAUGUUUAUUUUGAUUUUUUCUCUCGUGGAAACAUAAGUACUAUGAAUCCAUUUAAACCCCCUCUUGAUAUUGUAAUCUUUUUCUCUAUCUCUAUUUUAGAUAUGUGUGUGCAUUUAUUCAAAAUUUUCUUCUAAUUGUUAGUUGAAAGUAUUUAAUUUUGAAUUUCAUAUGGAUUUUGUUGUCUUCAAUGAAUUUGGCUUUCUUUUUUCUUCUUGCUUUUUGUGCUCUAAUUGAUGAUGAUACAAAAUGCAAACAAAGAAAUUAAGAAUAUGAUCAUUUUCAGAUACUUUAUUGUUCUUUUUUUUUUUUUUUAAAAAAGGGAUUGAUUGAUUAUCUUAAUGCUGAUGUCAAAAUCAAUUUUGAUCUAAUGAUCUCUAGGUUGAAAUUGAGUUCCAAAAAUUAAACUUUAGUGCAUGCUUCAUUUUUAUUGCUUCUCUUUAAGUUUACUGAAAAUUUUGAAAAGAUCUUUGUUUUCUAUUUUAUUUUGUUGGAAAAAGAUUUGCUUAGAAAUCAGAGGUUUGAUUACUGAGAUUUCAGAAAGAAAAUAACAAUAGUAACUUAGAUUCGGGAUUUCAAUUCUUAUUGUAUCAGCUUGAUGAAAUUGAAAAAUGCUAACAAAGAUGAAAUUGAACACCCUAUUUGUUCCUAACUUAAUCUCUCCUUUGUCUUUGCAUCUUUGCAAUCCUUAGACAUUUAUAUUCCAUUGUACUCUCAUUCCAUUGCAGAAAUCAGGUAAAACGUGGAGGAGCUGGCAAAGAUUAUUGGGGAGCUCAGAUUGAUAAAUUGGUUGAGUGAGUUUCUCCUUGGCGACUUUGACAGUAAGUCUUUAAUCAAUAGAAUGGCAUAUACUUUUUCUCAUAUAUCCAAUAUUGUGAUCCUUCUACCAUGGUUUCUAGAGUUACCGACGAAGUCUUCAAUUAUGGUGGGAUCAAUCUGAAUGCUGAAGCAUGAAUAAUCUUUUUAUCUAUAUAUUUAGAA
Molecule: long non-coding RNA, 3511 nt
Filed under: Olea europaea subsp. europaea
Lineage: Eukaryota; Viridiplantae; Streptophyta; Magnoliopsida; Lamiales; Oleaceae
Source: RNAcentral